UACGGAAGGCAGCAGUGGGGAAUAUUGCACAAUGGGCGCAAGCCUGAUGCAGCCAUGCCGCGUGUAUGAAGAAGGCCUUCGGGUUGUAAAGUACUUUCAGCGGGGAGGAAGGCGAUGCGGUUAAUAACCGCGUCGAUUGACGUUACCCGCAGAAGAAGCACCGGCUAACUCCGUGCCAGCAGCCGCGGUAAUACGGAGGGUGCAAGCGUUAAUCGGAAUUACUGGGCGUAAAGCGCACGCAGGCGGUCUGUUAAGUCAGAUGUGAAAUCCCCGGGCUUAACCUGGGAACUGCAUUUUGAACUGGCAGGCUUGAGUCUUGUAGAGGGGGUAGAAUUCCAGGUGUAGCGGUGAAAUGCGUAGAGAUCUGGAGGAAUACCGGUGGCGAAGGCGGCCCCUGGGACAAAGACUGACGCUCAGGUGCGAAAGCGUGGGGAGCAAACAGGAUUAGGAUACC
RNAcentral lists this ribosomal RNA (454 nucleotides) under uncultured bacterium. RNAcentral describes it as "bacterial SSU rRNA". It matches the Rfam family "Bacterial small subunit ribosomal RNA", at positions 340 to 786 of the family's 1533-position model. The record is from RNAcentral.